Molecule: RNA transcript, 7438 nt
Organism: Solenopsis invicta (red fire ant)
Lineage: Eukaryota; Metazoa; Arthropoda; Insecta; Hymenoptera; Formicidae
Exons: 2
Source: RefSeq, a predicted model, not a curated record
CGUCAGUUAGCAAUUUAAUAAGUGAAGAAAUAGAUAUUGGUCUCCAAUUUUAGCGAAUGAGUUCUUCAUGAUGAAAGGGAUAUAUUUAGUGGCCAUUUUAUACGUGGCCACGUUGAGUGUUGUUGCUCUCAACGAAUCACCAGUUGCUGACUGGACAAAAUGUCCCAAAGAUAACCCACAAAACAAAACAGUUUUUAUACCUCACGAAAGUGACUGCACGAAAUUCUACAAUUGUCAAUUGGGAGAGAAAGGGGAUCCAUUACAAUGCCCUUUAAUGGAUACUAAAGGCAACAGAUUACACUUCAAUGCUAAACUUCAAGUAUGUGAUUGGCCGUGGAAUGCAGGAUGUGAAUUAUCGUCAUCGACCCCGACAAUGACUACGCUAUCGAGUACUCCAACGCCGACGAUUCCGUCAACGACUACUCCAACGCCGACGACUCCGUCAACGACUACUCCAACGCCGACGACUCCGUCAACGACUACUCCAACGCCGACGACUCCGUCAACGACUACUCCAACGCCGACGACUCCGUCAACGACUACUCCAACGCCGACGACUCCGUCAACGACUACUCCAACACCGACGACUCCGUCCACGACUACUCCAACGCCGACGACUCCGUCAACGACUACUCCAACGCCGACGACUCCGUCCACGACUACUCCAACGCCGACGACUCCGUCAACGACUACUCCAACGCCGACGACUCCGUCAACGACUACUCCAACGCCGACGACUCCGUCAACGACUACUCCAACGCCGACGACUCCGUCAACGACUACUCCAACGCCGACGACUCCGUCAUCCAGUACUCCGACACCUACAACUCCGUCAUUGGAUUCUUGUGAGUCCGAUGGCAUAAUACACUUGCUUCCACACAAGACGUGCGAUCAUUACUAUGUGUGUUUGAACGGUAUGGUAGACCCCAUUCCUCAGAAAUGCGACCGUGGUUUAUUAUUCAACUCAGUUCUCCGUGUAUGCGACUUUCCGGAAAAUGUAAACUGCAAUGAUAUUUUUCCAUCGAGUACGGUUGUUGUACCAUCAACUAUCCACUCAAUAAUUACGACGAGAUUGAAUCCACCAUUGACUUCACCACCAUUUUCUCCAACGCCGAAUCCGUCAUUGGAUUCUUGUGAGUCCGAUGGCAUAAUACACUUGCUUCCACACAAGACUACGUGUGAUCAUUACUAUGUGUGUUUGAACGGUAUGGUAGACCCCAUUCCACAGAAAUGCGACCGUGAUUUAUUAUUCAACUCAGUUCUCCGUGUAUGCGACUUUCCGGAAAAUGUAAACUGCAAUGAUAUCGUUCCAUCGAGUACGGUUGUCGUACCAUCAACUAUCCACUCAAUAAUUACAACGAGAUUAAAUCCACCAAUGACUUCACCACCAUUUUCUCCAACGCCGACAAAAUCGGUAGAUCCAACUAAUUGGGUUUGCAUACCAAACGGCAGACGUUACAAGAUUCCUCAUCAGACCAUGUGCGAUUACUAUUAUUGGUGUACUGACGGCGUACAAGGUAAAUAUCCGAUAAAAUGCCCAGGCGAUUUAUUAUUUAAUCCAGAGAUUGGUCAAUGUGAUAACAAGGAAAUUGUAGAUUGCAAUGGUAGAAGUACUCCAUCACCAAUACCUACAACCUCAACAACGACUACAAAAACACCACCAACACCACCACCACCAACAACAACAACAACAACAACAACAACACCAACAACUACAACAGAAGUCACAAUUUCAACGACUACGGAAAAACCGACAACAACACCAACGACUACAACAACAACAACAGAAAUCCCAACACCAACACCAGAUCCUAGCAAACCUCGUAAAAACUGUCCUCCAAAAGGUUCAACGGAGAAAGCGCGGAUUGCUCACCCAUGUCUAUGCAAUACAUAUUAUGAUUGCAUAAACGGUGAAAAAGUAUUAAAAAAAUGUCCAAUCGGCAAGCAUUUUGAUUACGUGAGAGAAGUUUGCGAUUGGCCCUCAAUAGUAAAGUGUAUUCGGCCGAUUCCAUCCUUCGAUAUUCCAACUUUCGACAUUCGUAUUGAUGACUACAAUAUUACAUGCGCUCCAGAAGGCAGAGGAUUUCAGCAUAAGACCGAUUGUUCUGCUUAUUAUUUAUGUUCCAAUGGUGAGAUAAUAUUGAAGCACUGUACAGAGGGACUUCAUUUUAACAUGUCUAUUCAGACAUGUGAUUAUCCACACAAGAGUUGUGAUCUAAACAGAUCUCUGCCGAUAAUUUAUCUAGAUUUUUGUCCCACUUCAGAUUCCAUUGAAAAAGUAUUUUUACCUCACGAAUGUCAUUGCACACAGUAUUACGAAUGCGUUGGUGGAGAAAAAGUUCUUCGAUCUUGUCCAAAUGGUCUACAUUUUGAUUAUGUUUGGCAAAUUUGCAACGAUCCGAAUGAAGUCAAAUGUGCGGCUCAUAUAACUUCAACAACGCCUAGAACAGUAUACACAACAACAUCAAAUACGAAAACUAAUAGCGAUAAGCCUCGUAAAACAUGUCCUCCCAAGGGAUCAACCGAGAGAGCACAGCUUGCUCAUCCAUGUCUAUGCAAUCAAUAUUACGAGUGUGUAGAGGGCAACAAAGUAUUACGGAAGUGUCCAAGCGGUAUGUACUUUGAUGACACAAAAGAAAAAUGCGAUUUGACAAGCAAAGUGAAAUGCAUCCGACCACUUCCAUAUGAUUUUAGAAUGACCCACGACAUCUUAAUUGACGACUACGAUAAUAAAUGCUCUCCGGAUGGCAGAGCGUAUCAACACAAUUUUAGUUGCACCGAGUAUUAUUUAUGCACUAAGGGUAAGAAAGUCCUGAAAUCAUGCAUAGAAGGACUUCACUUCAACCAGAGUCUACAGAUAUGCGAUUAUCCGGAAAAGGAAUGUGAUCUAACUAUACCAAUGCCGACAAUCAGUCUAGGCAUUUGCCCUCCAGCAGGAUCCGUAGAGAAAGUAAUGCUCCCUCACGAGUGCGAAUGUACUCAGUAUUACGAAUGUAUUGAUGGAAAACAGAUUCUUCGAGAUUGUUUGGAUGGUCUACAUUAUGAUUAUAUUCGUCAAAUUUGUAACGAGCCAACCGAAGCCAAAUGCGCUAAUCUUGCGCCAACAGUUCCCACAAAACGAUCAUCCACAACUUCUGAUUCAGAUAAUUGUUUCAAUGAGAAUAGCGAAAUACCUCACGAAAACGAUUGCAGGUCCUACUAUAAAUGUAAUGACGGCAAAAAAGUAUUGAAGACAUGUCCCAGAAACUUACAUUUCAAUCCUAAACUUCGAGUUUGCGAUUUUCCAGAGAACGUUGUCUGCAACGCUGGAUCUACGAACGUACCUAAUCUGCCAACAUCAAAUAAAUGUGAUACAACAUCAGGAAUCACUAAAAUUCCUCAUGAAACUGACUGUAAUCUGUAUUACAUCUGCGCGAAUGGCAUCAGUACUCUUAAAAAAUGCCAUUCUCCAAACCUCGUUUUCAAUCCUAUUUUGAAAGUCUGUGAUUUCCCAGAGAAUUAUAUUUGCAAUACAGCACGCAUAAAAAACGACCUUAGAAGUAUUGAUAAAAUCGAGAUUCAAAAUCUAGAUCCAUCUACCUGUAUUGGCACCUGUCCCGAAGAAGAUCCCAAAUAUGCAGUUCUACUUCCAAACGACGACUGUAAGAAGUUUUGUUUGUGCAGCAACGGCAUACCGUGGGUUCAACCAUGUCCCGAGCCUCUCUAUUUCGAUUCUGUUCAAAAAAUUUGCAAACAGAAAAGAGAUGCCGUCUGUGGAGUACGCUCAUUCAGUCAAGAUGAUACUUUUGAGUUUACUAAAGCAAUUGAAAACGACAAUUCAUUGAGCUUUGUGACGAAUAAAAAUAACAAUAAACGCGCAGCAUACGAUAAUCUCGAUCCAGCUACUUGUAUAGGUACCUGUCCAGAGGAAGACCCAGAAUAUGCAGUUCUACUUCCAAACGACGACUGCAAGAAGUUUUGUUUGUGCAGCAACGGCAUACCGUGGGUUCAACCAUGUCCCGAACCUCUCUACUUCGAUUCUGUUCAAAAAGUUUGCAAACAGAAAAGAGAUGCCGUCUGUGGAGUACGCUCAUUCCGUCAAGAUGAUACUUUCACGUUUACUAAAGUAACUAACAACAAAAAUUCAUUGAAAUCUCUGACAAAUGAAAACAGCAAUAAACGCACAGCAUACGACAAUCUCGAUCCAUCUACUUGUAUAGGUACCUGUCCAGAAGAAGAUCCAGAAUAUGCAGUACUACUUCCAAACGAUGACUGCAAGAAGUUCUGUUUGUGCAGCAAUGGCAUACCGUGGGUUCAACCAUGUCCCGAACCUCUCUACUUCGAUUCUGUUCAAAAAGUUUGCAAACAGAAAAGAGAUGCCGUCUGUGGAGUACGCUCAUUCAGUCAAGAUGAUAUUUUUGAGUUUACUAAAGCAAUUGAAAACGACAAUUCAUUGAGCUCUGUGACGAAUAAAAAUAACAAUAAACGCGCAGCAUACGACAAUCUCGAUCCAGCUACUUGUAUAGGUACUUGUCCAGAGGAAGACCCAGAAUAUGCAGUUCUACUUCCAAACGACGACUGUAAGAAGUUUUGUUUGUGCAGCAACGGCAUACCGUGGGUUCAACCAUGUCCCGAGCCUCUCUAUUUCGAUUCUGUUCAAAAAAUUUGCAAACAGAAAAGAGAUGCCGUCUGUGGAGUACGCUCAUUCCGUCAAGAUGAUACUUUCACGUUUACUAAAGUAACCGACAACAAAAAUUCAUUGAAAUCUCUGACAAAUGGAAACAGCAAUAAACGCACAGCAUACGACAAUCUCGACCCAUCUACUUGUAUAGGUACCUGUCCAGAAGAAGAUCCAGAAUAUGCAGUACUACUUCCAAACGAUGAUUGCAAGAAGUUCUGUUUGUGCAGCAAUGGCAUACCGUGGGUUCAACCAUGUCCCGAACCUCUCUACUUCGAUUCUGUUCAAAAAGUUUGCAAACAGAAAAGAGAUGCCGUCUGUGGAGUACGCUCAUUCAGUCAAGAUGAUAUUUUUGAGUUUACUAAAGCAAUUGAAAACGACAAUUCAUUAAGCUCUGUGACGAAUAAAAAUAACAAUAAACGCGCAGCAUACGACAAUCUCGAUCCAGCUACUUGUAUAGGUACCUGUCCAGAGGAAGACCCAGAAUAUGCAGUUCUACUUCCAAACGACGACUGUAAGAAGUUUUGUUUGUGCAGCAACGGCAUACCGUGGGUUCAACCAUGUCCCGAGCCUCUCUAUUUCGAUUCUGUUCAAAAAAUUUGCAAACAGAAAAGAGAUGCCGUCUGUGGAGUACGCUCAUUCCGUCAAGAUGAUACUUUCACGUUUACUAAAGUAACUGACAACAAAAAUUCAUUGAAAUCUCUGACAAAUGAAAACAGCAAUAAACGCACAGCAUACGACAAUCUCGACCCAUCUACUUGUAUAGGUACCUGUCCAGAAGAAGAUCCAGAAUAUGCAGUACUACUUCCAAACGAUGAUUGCAAGAAGUUCUGUUUGUGCAGCAAUGGCAUACCGUGGGUUCAACCAUGUCCCGAACCUCUCUACUUCGAUUCUGUUCAAAAAGUUUGCAAACAGAAAAGAGAUGCCGUCUGUGGAGUACGCUCAUUCAGUCAAGAUGAUACUUUUAAAUUUACUGAAGCAAUUGAAAACGACAAUUCAUUGAGCUCUGUGACGAAUAAAAAUAACAAUAAACGCGCAGCAUACGACAAUCUCGAUCCAGCUACUUGUAUAGGUACCUGUCCAGAGGAAGACCCAGAAUAUGCAGUUCUACUUCCAAACGAUGACUGUAAGAAGUUUUGUUUGUGCAGCAACGGCAUACCGUGGGUUCAACCAUGUCCUGAGCCUCUCUAUUUCGAUUCUGUUCAAAAAAUUUGCAAACAGAAAAGAGAUGCCGUCUGUGGAGUACGCUCAUUCAGUCAAGAUGAUACUUUUGAGUUUACCAAAGCAAUUGAAAACGACAAUUCAUUGAGCUCUGUGACGAAUAAAAAUAACAAUAAACGCGUGGCAUACGACAAUCUCGAUCCAGCUACUUGUAUAGGUACUUGUCCAGAGGAAGACCCAGAAUAUGCAGUUCUACUUCCAAACGACGACUGUAAGAAGUUUUGUUUGUGCAGCAAUGGCAUACCGUGGGUUCAACCAUGUCCCGAACCUCUCUACUUCGAUUCUGUUCAAAAAGUUUGCAAACAGAAAAGAGAUGCCGUCUGUGGAGUACGCUCAUUCAGUCAAGAUGAUGCUUUUAAAUUUACUGAAGCAAUUGAAAACGACAAUUCAUUGAGCUCUGUGACGAAUAAAAAUAACAAUAAACGCGCAGCAUACGACAAUCUCGAUCCAGCUACUUGUAUAGGUACUUGUCCAGAGGAAGACCCAGAAUAUGCAGUUCUACUUCCAAACGACGACUGCAAGAAGUUUUGUUUGUGCAGCAACGGCAUACCGUGGGUUCAACCAUGUCCCGAACCUCUCUACUUCGAUUCUGUUCAAAAAGUUUGCAAACAGAAAAGAGAUGCGGUCUGCGGAGUACGCUUAUUCAGUCAAGAUGAUACUUUUGAGUUCACUAAAAUAAUUGACAACGACAAUUCAUUGAACUCUCUGACCAAUAAAAACAGCAACAAACACGCAACAUAUGACAAUCUCGAUCCAUCUACUUGUAUAGGUACCUGUCCAGAAGAAGAUCCAGAUUAUGCAGUUCUACUUCCAAACGACGACUGCAAGAAGUUCUGUUUGUGCAGCAACGGCAUACCGUGGGUCCAAUCAUGUCCCGAGCCUCUCUACUUCGAUUCUAUUCAUAAAGUUUGUAAACAGAAAAGAGAUGCCGUUUGUGGGAUACGCUAGUAUAGUAAAGAUAGCGUUUUCACAACGAUGAUAGAACGAUGACAACGAUUUGAUAAAAACUCUGAUUGAAACAGUAACGAACACGAUAUAUCUCAAUCUAUGUGCCUGCAUCAGUACUUGGCCAGAGAAGAAUUAUGAUUAUGCAGUGCCACUUCCAAACGAUGAUUGCAAGAAGUUCUAUUUUUCGACAACGACGUGGUCUAGGUUCUGUCCUGUCCUGAACCUUUAUGUAUCGAUUCUGUCCAGGAAAUUUGUAAACAAAAGAAGAAUGAUGUUUGCGCGAUACAUCUUUGCAAUGAAAAUUGCACUUCACUUUCAGUAAAAAUUGAUAAUCAGCAAUAAAUCACUGGCAUCUUACUAAAAAACAUGAUACAAAACAGUUAUUUGAAUCAAAGCUUUUCUUGAGUCAAAGCUUUAUUUCAAUUUUUAUUUAAUUAUCCAAAGUUUGCAAAUUAUUCAUCAAUUUUAUAUUAUGAAUUCUUGUUACUUAUAAAUUUUUUGCUUUUCUUAUAAUUUGGCUAAUAUCUUAUUAUUACAUAAGUGUUAAUUCAAUUUUAAGAGAUAAUUCAGUUUAUUGUAAAAAAUAAAGUGUUUGUCAAUAAUUAUUUAUUU